CCGUGGGGCUCACUCUCACGGUGGAAAUGAUAACAACAAUGAUGAUGAGAUAGAGAAGACACUUGCAAUAUUAGUUGGACUUAUUGCUGGGGUUGCAUUACUCAUUGUAUUCCUUUCUUUCUUGAGAAAAGUGUGUGAAAAAGGAAAAGGUGGUAAAUAGCAGAAAAACUUGUGGACAUAUCAGGAAUUGCACUUCUCUCUGGUAACUUUUUCUUUUUUUUCUUUUUUCUUUUUUUGCUUCACUUUUGUAUUGUGAUCCUUUUGUAGUUUCUUUCAUAUCUCCCUAUAAAAAGAGAGCCUGAAAGGGUGGAUAGAAAGCUAUUCUUCUUGAAACAGGUUACCUUGAAACAAGUGAAAAAGAAAGUUGCAAUAAGGCGAAAAGCCUAAAGAUUCCACACUCUUCCUACAACCACUUGAGUCUUAUAACAAUGUUAAUUAGCUUUUGUUUUCUAAUGAAAUUACUUGUAUAAAUAGUGAACACUUUUAUGAAAGUGCUCUUUGUAAUGCUGUGUUAGUGCCUUU
RNAcentral lists this unclassified non-coding RNA (522 nucleotides) under Hevea brasiliensis (rubber tree). Lineage: Eukaryota; Viridiplantae; Streptophyta; Magnoliopsida; Malpighiales; Euphorbiaceae. The record is from RNAcentral.